GGAGCUUGCUUUAUAUACUUAGCAGCGAACGGGUGAGUAACACGUAGAUAAUCUAUCCUAUACUGGGGGAUAGCCCGAUGAAAGUUGGAUUAAUACCGCAUAUAGCUAUAUAGUUGCAUGAUUAUGUAGUGAAAGAUUUAUCGGUAUAGGAGGAGUCUGCGGCACAUUAGCUAGUAGGUGAGGUAAAGGCUUACCUAGGCGACGAUGUGUAGCCGGUCUGAGAGGAUGAACGGCCACAAUGGAACUGAGACACGGUCCAUACUCCUACGGGAGGCAGCAGUGGGGAAUAUUGCACAAUGGGGGAAACCCUGAUGCAGCAACGCCGCGUGAGUGAAGAAGGUUUUCGGAUUGUAAAGCUCUGUUAGCAGGGAAGAGGAAGGACGGUACCUGCAGAGGAAGCCACGGCUAACUACGUGCCAGCAGCCGCGGUAAUACGUAGGUGGCAAGCGUUGUUCGGAAUAACUGGGCGUAAAGGAUGCGUAGGCGGUUAAACAAGUUAUAUGUUAAAUAUAUAGGCUUAACCUGUAGAAAGCAUAUAAAACUGUUUAACUAGAGUGCAGGAGAGGUAAGUGGAAUUCCUAGUGUAGCGGUGAAAUGCGUAGAGAUUAGGAAGAACACCAGUGGCGAAGGCGACUUACUGGACUGUAACUGACGCUGAGGCAUGAGAGCAUGGGGAGCAAACAGGAUUAGAUACCCUGGUAGUCCAUGCUGUAAACGAUGGGUACUAGGU
This 730-nucleotide ribosomal RNA is filed under the name uncultured bacterium. RNAcentral describes it as "bacterial SSU rRNA". It matches the Rfam family "Bacterial small subunit ribosomal RNA", at positions 75 to 821 of the family's 1533-position model. The record is from RNAcentral.